This 507-nucleotide ribosomal RNA is filed under the name uncultured bacterium. RNAcentral's name for it is "bacterial SSU rRNA". It matches the Rfam family "Bacterial small subunit ribosomal RNA", at positions 28 to 527 of the family's 1533-position model. The record is from RNAcentral.
GACGAACGCUGGCGGCGUGGAUUAGGCAUGCAAGUCGAACGGUAUCAUCCUUUCGGGGGUGAGAGAGUGGCGAACUGGUGAGUAACACGUAGGUUAUCUACCCUCAAGACGGGGACAACCCAGGGAAACUUGGGCUAAUACCGGAUGUGAGCAACUUUUAGUUGUUUGAAAGGUGGCGUAAGCUGUCGCUUGGGGAUGAGCCUGCGUCCUAUUAGUUAGUUGGUGAGGUAACGGCUCACCUAGGCAAUGAUAGGUAGGCGGCCUUAACGGGUGGUCGCCCACACUGGGAUUGAGAUACGGCCCAGACUCCUACGGGAGGCAGCAGUCGAGAAUAGUCUACAAUGGUCGGAAGACUGAUAGUGCGACGCCGCGUGAACGAUGAAUCCCUUCGGGGUGUAAAGUUCUUUUAUAUGUGAGCAGUGCUUCUUAUAUUAACAGUAUGGGGAGAGAGAUAUUAGCAUAUGAAUAAGCAACGGCUAACUCCGUGCCAGCAGCCGCGGUAACUCG